GAUUAACGCUAGCGGCAGGCCUAAUACAUGCAAGUUGUACGGGAUUAUUGGUAGCAAUACUGAUAUGAGAGUAGCGCACGGGUGCGUAACACGUAUGCAACCUACCUUUAACUGGGGAAUAGCUCACCGAAAGGUGAAUUAACACCGCAUAAAAUCACAGAAGGACAUCCUUUAAUGAUUAAAUCUCCGGAGGUUAAAGAUGGGCAUGCGUCCGAUUAGCUAGNGGC
This 227-nucleotide ribosomal RNA is filed under the name uncultured bacterium. RNAcentral describes it as "partial 16S ribosomal RNA". It matches the Rfam family "Bacterial small subunit ribosomal RNA", at positions 28 to 252 of the family's 1533-position model. The record is from RNAcentral.